CGGGGGAGGCCGGAUCCUGGGCUGUGUCCCGGCGUCCUGUACUCCGGAGCCUGCGCUGUUGGAUUCGCGCUCCCGGGCCGCGCAGCCCCCU
Molecule: non-coding RNA, 91 nt
Organism: Canis lupus familiaris (dog)
Lineage: Eukaryota; Metazoa; Chordata; Mammalia; Carnivora; Canidae
Source: Rfam